This 245-nucleotide ribosomal RNA is filed under the name uncultured bacterium. Its description in RNAcentral is "partial 16S ribosomal RNA". It matches the Rfam family "Bacterial small subunit ribosomal RNA", at positions 524 to 768 of the family's 1533-position model. The record is from RNAcentral.
UACGUAGGUGGCGAGCGUUGUCCGGAAUUACUGGGUGUAAAGGGCGUGUAGGCGGGAUGGCAAGUCAGAUGUGAAAUUCCCAGGCUUAACCUGGGCGCUGCAUCUGAAACUGUUGUUCUUGAGUGCCGGAGAGGAAAGCGGAAUUCCUAGUGUAGCGGUGAAAUGCGUAGAUAUUAGGAGGAACACCAGUGGCGAAGGCGGCUUUCUGGACGGUAACUGACGCUGAGGCGCGAAAGCGUGGGGAG